GUGUCAGCAGCCGCGGUAAUACAGAGGGUGCAAGCGUUGUUCGGAAUUAUUGGGCGUAAAGCGCGUGUAGGCGGCUUGUCAAGUCGGGCGUGAAAUCCCUCAGCUCAACUGAGGAAGUGCACCUGAAACUGACGAGCUUGAGUGCUAGAGAGGGUGGCGGAAUUCCGCAAGUAGAGGUGAAAUUCGUAGAUAUGCGGAGGAACACCGGUGGCGAAGGCGGCCACCUGGCUGGUCACUGACGCUGAGACGCGAAAGCGUGGGGAGCAAACAGGAUUAGAUACCCUAGUAGUCC
RNAcentral lists this ribosomal RNA (292 nucleotides) under uncultured bacterium. Its description in RNAcentral is "partial 16S ribosomal RNA". It matches the Rfam family "Bacterial small subunit ribosomal RNA", at positions 505 to 796 of the family's 1533-position model. The record is from RNAcentral.